RNAcentral lists this ribosomal RNA (126 nucleotides) under Mycobacterium sp. Its description in RNAcentral is "partial 23S ribosomal RNA". It matches the Rfam family "Bacterial large subunit ribosomal RNA", at positions 2802 to 2925 of the family's 2925-position model. Lineage: Bacteria; Bacillati; Actinomycetota; Actinomycetes; Mycobacteriales; Mycobacteriaceae. The record is from RNAcentral.
ACGCCAGGCUUCUCACCCAUCAAGUGGGAUAAGGCCCCUCGCAUACCACGGGAUCGAUAGCCCAGACCUACACACCCCGCAAGGGGCGCAGGGAACUGGCACUAACCGGCCGAAAACUUACAACAA